UACGGAGGAUCCGAGCGUUAUCCGGAUUUAUUGGGUUUAAAGGGUGCACAGGCGGGGGAUUAAGUCGGCGGUGAAAUUUUGCAGCUCAACUGUAAAAGUGCCUUCGAAACUGGUUUCCUUGAGUGUAGAUGAAGUAGGCGGAAUUUGUGGUGUAGCGGUGAAAUGCAUAGAUAUGACGCAGAACUCCGAUUGCGAAGGCAGCUUACUGGGAUGCAACUGACGCUGAGGCACGAAAGCGUGGGUAUCAAACAGGAUUAGAUA
Molecule: ribosomal RNA, 261 nt
Filed under: uncultured prokaryote
Description: partial 16S ribosomal RNA
Rfam family: Bacterial small subunit ribosomal RNA
Source: RNAcentral